RNAcentral lists this ribosomal RNA (603 nucleotides) under uncultured bacterium. RNAcentral describes it as "bacterial SSU rRNA". It matches the Rfam family "Bacterial small subunit ribosomal RNA", at positions 338 to 1415 of the family's 1533-position model. The record is from RNAcentral.
CCUACGGGAGGCAGCAGUGGGGAAUUUUCCGCAAUGGGCGAAAGCCUGACGGAGCAACGCCGCGUGAGGGAUGAAGGCCUCUGGGCUGUAAACCUCUUUUAUCAAGGAAGAAGAUCUGACGGUACUUGAUGAAUAAGCCACGGCUAAUUCCGUGCCAGCAGCCGCGGUAAUACGGGAGUGGCAAGCGUUAUCCGGAAUUAUUGGGCGUAAAGCGUCCGCAGGCGGUCUUGUAAGUCUGUCGUUAAAGCGUGGAGCUUAACUCCAUUUCGGCGGUGGAAACUACAAGACUAGAGUGUGGUAGGGGCAGAGGGAAUUCCCGGUGUAGCGGUGAAAUGCGUAGAUAUCGGGAAGAACACCAGUGGCGAAGGCGCUCUGCUGGGCCAUAACUGACGCUCAUGGACGAAAGCUAGGGGAGCGAAAGGGAUUAGAUACCCCUGUAGUCCUAGCCGUAAACGAUGAACACUAGGUGUCGGGGGAAUCGACCCCCUCGGUGUCGUAGCUAACGCGUUAAGUGUUCCGCCUGGGGAGUACGCACGCAGUGUGAACUACAAGAAGUUAGACGGCGUGAGACGUGCCGAACGGACGACGACGAGGGGAGGUAGG